GAUACCCUGGUAGUCCACGCUGUAAACGAUGAUUACUAGGUGUGGGGGGACUGACCCCUUCCGUGCCGCAGUUAACACAAUAAGUAAUCCACCUGGGGAGUACGGCCGCAAGGCUGAAACUCAAAGGAAUUGACGGGGGCCCGCACAAGCAGUGGAGUAUGUGGAUUAAUUCGAAGCAACGCGAAGAACCUUACCAGGUCUUGACAUCGUAUGCAUAACUCAGAGAUGAGAGAAAUCCCUUCGGGGACAUAUAGACAGGUGGUGCAUGGUUGUCGUCAGCUCGUGUCGUGAGAUGUUGGGUUAAGUCCCGCAACGAGCGCAACCCUUAUGUUUAGUUGCUACGCAAGAGCACUCUAGACAGACUGCCGUUGACAAAACGGAGGAAGGUGGGGAUGACGUCAAAUCAUCAUGCCCCUUAUGACCUGGGCCUCACACGUACUACAAUGGCUGCCAACAGAGGGAAGCAAAGCAGUGAUGCAGAGCAAGUCCCCAAAAGCAGUCUUAGUUCGGAUUGUAGGCUGCAACUCGCCUACAUGAAGUCGGAAUUGCUAGUAAUCGCGGAUCAGCAUGCCGCGGUGAAUACGUUCCCGGGCCUUGUACACACCGCCCGUCACACCAUGGGAGUCGGUAACACCCGAAGCCUGUAGUCUAACCGCAAGGAGGACGCAGUCGAAGGUGGGAUUGAUGACUGGGGUGAAGUCGUAACAAGGUAC
Molecule: ribosomal RNA, 713 nt
Filed under: uncultured bacterium
Lineage: Bacteria
Description: bacterial SSU rRNA
Rfam family: Bacterial small subunit ribosomal RNA
Source: RNAcentral